RNAcentral lists this ribosomal RNA (811 nucleotides) under uncultured bacterium. RNAcentral's name for it is "bacterial SSU rRNA". It matches the Rfam family "Bacterial small subunit ribosomal RNA", at positions 8 to 796 of the family's 1533-position model. The record is from RNAcentral.
AGAGUUUGAUCAUGGCUCAGAACGAACGCUGGCGGCGUGGAUAAGACAUGCAAGUCGGACGAGAUUUUUCGUUGUAGCAAUACGAUGGAAAGUCUAGUGGCGAACGGGUGCUUAACACGUGGGCAAUCUGUCUUAAAGUGGGGGGAUAGCUCGGCGAAAGCCGAAUUAAUACCGCAUGUGAUUAGAGUGGACAUCCAUUCGAAAUUAAAGUCGGGGCAACCUGACGCUUUUUGAGGAGCCCGCGGCCUAUCAGCUUGUUGGUGAGGUAACGGCUCACCAAGGCUUUGACGGGUAGCUGGUCUGAGAGGACGACCAGCCACACUGGGACUGAGACACGGCCCAGACACCUACGGGUGGCAGCAGUCGAGAAUUUUUCUCAAUGGGGGAAACCCUGAAGGAGCGACGCCGCGUGGAGGAUGAAGGUCUUCGGAUUGUAAACUCCUGUCAUUGGGGAACAAGUCGCUUACGUUAACUGCGUGAGCGUUGAUAGUACCCGAAGAGGAAGAGACGGCUAACUCUGUGCCAGCAGCCGCGGUAAUACAGAGGUCUCAAGCGUUGUUCGGAUUCAUUGGGCGUAAAGGGUGCGUAGGCGGCGCGGUAAGUCGGGUGUGAAAUCUUGGAGCUUAACUCCGAAACUGCAUUCGAUACUGCCGUGCUUGAGGACUGGAGAGGAGACUGGAAUUUACGGUGUAGCGGUGAAAUGCGUAGAUAUCGUAAGGAAGACCAGUGGCGAAGGCGGGUCUCUGGACAGUUUCUGACGCUGAGGCACGAAGGUCAGGGGAGCAAACGGGAUUAGAUACCCUAGUAGUCC